GGGGAAUUUUCCGCAAUGGGCGCAAGCCUGACGGAGCAAUACCGCGUGAGGGAGGACGGCUUUUGGGUUGUAAACCUCUUUUAUCAGGGAAGAAGACAGUGACGGUACCUGAUGAAUCAGCAUCGGCUAACUCCGUGCCAGCAGCCGCGGUAAUACGGAGGAUGCAAGCGUUAUCCGGAAUUAUUGGGCGUAAAGCGUCCGUAGGUGGUUUUUCAAGUCUGCUGUCAAAGCGUGGAGCUUAACUCCAUACCGGCAGUGGAAACUGGGAGACUAGAGUGCGAUAGGGGUUACGGGAAUUCCCAGUGUAGCGGUGAAAUGCGUAGAGAUUGGGAAGAACACCAGCGGCGAAAGCGCGUAACUGGGUCUGCACUGACACUGAGGGACGAAAGCUAGGGGAGCGAAAGGGAUUAGAUACCCCUGUAGUCCUAGCCGUAAACGAUGGAUACUAGGUGUGGCUCGUAUCGACCCGAGCCGUGCCGGAGCUAACGCGUUAAGUAUCC
This 500-nucleotide ribosomal RNA is filed under the name uncultured cyanobacterium. RNAcentral describes it as "bacterial SSU rRNA". It matches the Rfam family "Bacterial small subunit ribosomal RNA", at positions 356 to 869 of the family's 1533-position model. Lineage: Bacteria; Bacillati; Cyanobacteriota. The record is from RNAcentral.